UACAGUCCUUUCUUUGUUUACUUUGUAGUCCCUGUGCAGUACUGGAAUGGGAAAUGUGGAGUCAAUCAGUGCAAAUGAGAAUCAAGCCACAUGUCUGAAAAGCAAUGAGCAACUGAAGAAAUAGUUUUGAAGGGGAAAGUUUGUAAUUAACCUCUCUAACACCAUCCUCAAAGCAGAGCACCUGAUCACUAUGUGGCAUAGACAGCUUCUCUGCACUGUAGAAUAUGAUGCACCAUUUGUGGGAUCUGUAUCAGUAAGGCCACUCAUGCUAUAGCCAUAGCAAGUGUCAUCCUGGUAUUCUGUGGAAAGCCUAGCAACAACCCACAGACAAAAUGUAAGCAUGAUUUAUACUAGCAUUGCACUGAUAAAAAUGAGGGCUUCAGCCUCCCUGUAAUCCCUGUUUAGGAUUACAGUCAUAAAUAUUACCAUUAUUAGGCUGUAUGAUCCAUUAUUCAAAAGUCCCUUUAAAAUUUGUUCUAAUGGAAUCUGAAGCUGACCAGAGCUCUGGAAUGGAUCUUCUGAGGAUUUUCUGUAUAGUGAGCUUCCCUGAAGGCCAAAAGGGCUUUUAAACUAAAGAAGACAGGGUUUUUUUUGAAAAUGAAGUAUUUGUUUUAAAAUGAAAUAUAGUGAUUAGGAGAAAGAGAGCAGGAAAAAACCCAACCCCAUACAUCAUAGGGUGGGUAUCACAGCUAUUUGAUUAGAUUUAAAACAUAAAUGUUCAUUAAAGGAGAACUAGUAGGAAAAAUGAACUCCCUUUUGAGAUUGAAAUCAUCCAUUUACUCCACAUUUCUGAGAAAGACAGAGUAGCCUUAAAAAUAACUUAGGUCUUUCUUUCGUUUUGCUACUGUUUUUGUUUGUUGUUAAAUUCUUCGUUGGACUAAGAUAAUUGAAUAUUUAUGGUAUUUUUCAUUAUAAUAGUAAAUGCAUAAUAAGGAAAUUACAAUAAUGGCACAUUUUGCUGUGUCUUUAACAUGUUAAUUCUAAGGAGAAAGUGAUAAAGAUCCCUUGAUUUUGAUACAAUUUUGUGAAGAACAUUGCUGUUAAUCUUACAGUGGAAAAUUUGAGAAAAUUUUCAUACAUUGUCACUGAAGGCAACCUCACUAUAAUUGCUUUCUUAUGUACUGCUUUAUGAUACUGGAAAUAGUUGAUUAAUUAUGUGCUGAACUGGUUCUCUUGUCAGGAGAGGGUAAAAAAAAUCACUUAAAUUAGUCAGAUGAUUUCACCUCAGUGACAAACAUGAACACACUUUAACAUCAACAUUUUUAUAUAUUGCCAAAAUCUAAUAAACUUCUGAUGAAUUCCAGAAUAGGAGGAAUUUGAGAAUUCAGGCUGAAAGUACAUUUUUUAUUACAACUGUUGCAAAAAGACUCUUGCAAUACAGGUUUCAGAGAGAGUCUUGCACAUCUCUUUGGCUUUUUUACUGACCAGAAGUGAAUGACAAUCGUAUGGAACAAUUUUGAUCCAGUUUAUUAAGUUUUAUAUGACAGCACAAGAUAUGAGGUCAAAAAACUGCUAACCUUCUGGACUGGAGUGAGAUAAUCAAUACAUUGGUCCUGUCUUAAAGAUUCAAGGGAGAACUUUUCCUGCAGAGGGUGGACUAAACCAACAUACUCUUCUAUAAUAGCCUUCAUGAGUGCCUUUGCCCUCAUACUGCUUUUCUGUUAAGGUCUGACCCAAAGAUCAUUCACAGAAAAGAGGAUCUUACAGUGGGCUUUGGCUUGGGUCAGUGAGUGAGGUCAGGUCAGGCAUCACAAAGCUUGGCAAGAAAGGGAAUCAGGUCACAAAGACCACAAUGGUAAAGAAAAUCCACAAGUGACAUUUCAGAGGGGAGUGAAAAAUAACACUAAGGCAGAAUUCAUCUUGACAAAGUCAGACAUCUAAAAGUUACUUGUCAUAUUUCCUUCAUAGCCAUAGGAUAAGAAAGAGAUGAGAUAGUGAUUCAUUGAACCUGUCUUAGAUAUCUACUACAGGUUGAGAUGAACUGCCUUCUGGAGGGGACUUUUUCUCUCCUUUGACUAUAAAGGAGCCCAGGGGACUAGCUGACAUUUAGGGAGCUGGCUUUUAGAUUAUAAAGUUAGAAAAUCCCUGUCAAAGGAAUCUGUGGGAGUAGCUCUCUUUCGCUCUCUCCUCUUUCCUCCUCCUAGCCAUUAAGACAGUACCGCAGGUAGGUCUGCUGCCUUGCAAAUGCACCCUUCUGAUCCUCUGGUAUGUCUAGACACUAUGCUUUCCUUUAGAAAAUCUAAGCUAGGAAGCAGACAUCUAAUUGUUUUACCUGAAAUAAGUUCCCUUUUCUCUGAAAAACCAUGAUUUUUCCGAUUCAAGAGUAAUAAUUUCAGUUGAAUAAACUUAGAUUACUUAGAGUGAGAAUACAGCUCAAGGUUCAACUGCACCUCUAUUUUCCUUCUGAAUAGGAUAAAUAUCCCCUAGUAUUCCUUCCACCUCUUCUAACCAUAAGUUAGCAGGAAUUCAAAUAAGAUUGUUCUAUAUCCCAGGUGCUGUUCUUAAUACCGGACUACAGGCAGGGUCCAGAGGUAACAACAUUCUUGUUGAAAUCAAAGACUGACAAAGUUGACUUGUAUUUAGUGUGUAUGUUUAGAAAUAUGGCCCAACAUUUAUUCAGGACAAUACAUAUAGAAAUCAUUUCAUCUCUUUCCUCAUAUUAUUAUAUAGAAUAGAGUAUAGUUAUGUCCUUCAUGGAGAAGAAAAGCACUUCAAAACAAAAGAUACCUUCUGUUUAAUGCCAUAGAGGAGAAAAAAUGGAACCUAAUUUCUUUAGACAUUAUUUCUGGCACCUAAUUUCUUUGGUUACUGGGUUGGUUUGAGUUAAUUCUUCUCACAUUUUCAAAGAUUUUUUUACUAGCAGCUUGAUUUUUAAAGAUAUUUGGUUUCUAAAAAUAUAUGUUUUUCCAUAGUGGAAUUUUCCAUCAUACUGCCUUUUUAAGGACCAAAAUAUUUGGUCAUUGAUAGCCAGUGACAUUUGAUUUUCUAAAUUUAAUUAAAAAUAUAUUUGGGCCAUUAAGGUAGUUAAUCUUUGGAUGCUUUUGAAAAUUUAGACUUGCAUAUUGAAUCCAUUUAUUAUUUGUACUCAAUUUUGAAAUAAAGUUAUUUGAUUAGAAAUACUACUAUUUUUAGUGGACCAUAGCCCUUAAUUCAAGUGUUAUAUUUUGAUUCACUGCAAACAAAAAUCCUCAGGAGAUUAGUAGAGCAAAUGGAGGCAUCUCUGAUAAGACACACAUGAGCUGUUUUGGAAAUAACCAUCACUUGAGAUACAGACUUUGGUUUCUCUACUUUUUUCUCAUUUUUUUUUUUUUAAUCACUGAGACAGAACAGUAUUUGUUACAAUAAGGCAAGAGCAGAGAAGAAAUAACUGCAAAUAAAAUAGAGCAGCUCAUACAGUACUUGCAAUUCUCAAUUGAGUUAGCCAGAAUUUUAAGCACUUGUUGGAAUGCUUCAGAGUUAAAACAUUUGAAGGUGUGAUGUUCUGGUGAGAGAGGUAUUAGGCUGAUUCUGCUGUCUUGGUUUUGGAUUUCACACUGAUACAAACAGCCCUGGUUCAUAAGGUUUUGGAGUAAAAGUACAAAACAAGGUAUGUAAAUAUUUAAGUUAUAAACUCCACAAAACACGACAUUUUUCUUGAUAUCUUUACAAAAUCUGGGAGUGAGUUUGAUGGAUACAAUUUGCAUGAGCAGACAUUGUCACCUAAAUAUUAAAUGGGGGUUCAUGUGCUUUUGUAUCCUUAGCCAAAUGCUUGAUAUAACUCCAACAGUUGCUUCCCAGCUGAAAGGUUUCAGCACAAAUGACUGCUUUACUUCCUGAAGGUGAAAGAACUGUGUUCCCUUCUGCUAGGAACACGUUCAGGCCUUUGAAGUGCAAUUCUCAUAUUCUGAAUGCAUAAUAGGAAAAGUGUCCCUUUUUCUUUGGUAAUGUAUAUUUUGCCUUUAGACUGUAGGUUGAGAAAUGCUUCUCUGUGGGCAUUCCUUGAUGCCAAUGUUGGUUUCCAAUUUCAGCUAUUCCUUUGUUAUGCCCUGGGUUAAUAAAACUCAUGUUAUAUCAAGUUUCCAGGAGCAAGAGAAAGUUCAAAUGAGGAGAACUUAGUAAGGCACUGUGUCAUUUCCGUUAAGCAAUCCUGGCUGAUUCUGUCCUUUCCCAUCCAGGAGGAUUUCCAGGAAGAUUUCCCCACUGUAUACAUUUUUUAGGACCUCUUGUGCUCU
Molecule: long non-coding RNA, 4211 nt
Organism: Pseudopipra pipra
Lineage: Eukaryota; Metazoa; Chordata; Aves; Passeriformes; Pipridae
Exons: 4
Source: RefSeq, a predicted model, not a curated record